Rattus norvegicus (Norway rat) is the source of this 121-nucleotide microRNA precursor. The record is from Ensembl. NCBI's taxonomy places the organism in Eukaryota, Metazoa, Chordata, Mammalia, Rodentia, Muridae.
UAACCCAGGUCUUGGUUGCCACGGCUUCUCAUUAGCUCCUUAAGAUCCCUGUGGAGCACUGGUUGCUCCGCAGGGACUGCAAGGAGCCGCAGGACAGAUGGCAGCUGCUUGGACUGCUCUC